UCCUAGGAUGCUCUAGUGUGCUUUGUGAG
RNAcentral lists this non-coding RNA (29 nucleotides) under Mus musculus (house mouse). The record is from RNAcentral. Lineage: Eukaryota; Metazoa; Chordata; Mammalia; Rodentia; Muridae.